CCUACGGGAGGCAGCAGUGAGGAAUAUUGGUCAAUGGCCGGGAGGCUGAACCAGCCAAGUCGCGUGAGGGAAGACGGCCCUACGGGUUGUAAACCUCUUUUGUCAGGGAGCAAGGUGCAGGUCGGGACCUGCUGUGAGAGUACCUGAAGAAAAAGCAUCGGCUAACUCCGUGCCAGCAGCCGCGGUAAUACGGAGGAUGCGAGCGUUAUCCGGAUUUAUUGGGGUUAAAGGGUGGGGUGGCGGGUUUAUAAGUUAGAGGUGAAAAUUCGGGGCUCAACUCCGGAAGUGCCGUUAAUACUGGAUGACUAGAGAAUAGAUGCGGUAGGCGGAAUGUGUGGUGUAGCGGUGAAAUGCGUAGAGAUCAUACAGAACACCGAUUGCGAAGGCAGCUUACCAAACUAUAUCUGACGUUGAGGCACGAAAGCGUGGGGAGCAAACAGGAUUAGAUACCCGAGUAGUC
Molecule: ribosomal RNA, 460 nt
Filed under: uncultured bacterium
Lineage: Bacteria
Description: partial 16S ribosomal RNA
Rfam family: Bacterial small subunit ribosomal RNA
Source: RNAcentral